Molecule: ribosomal RNA, 492 nt
Filed under: uncultured bacterium
Lineage: Bacteria
Description: bacterial SSU rRNA
Rfam family: Bacterial small subunit ribosomal RNA
Source: RNAcentral
GGGCUCGCGGCCUAUCAGCUUGUUGGUGGGGUGAUGGCCUACCAAGGCGACGACGGGUAGCCGGCCUGAGAGGGUGUCCGGCCACACUGGGACUGAGAUACGGCCCAGACUCCUACGGGAGGCAGCAGUGGGGAAUAUUGCACAAUGGGCGCAAGCCUGAUGCAGCGACGCCGCGUGAGGGAUGACGGCCUUCGGGUUGUAAACCUCUUUCACCAGGGACGAAGCGCAAGUGACGGUACCUGGAGAAGAAGCACCGGCCAACUACGUGCCAGCAGCCGCGGUAAUACGUAGGGUGCGAGCGUUGUCCGGAAUUACUGGGCGUAAAGAGCUCGUAGGUGGUUUGUCGCGUUGUUCGUGAAAACUCACAGCUCAACUGUGGGCGUGCGGGCGAUACGGGCAGACUGGAGUACUGCAGGGGAGACUGGAAUUCCUGGUGUAGCGGUGGAUUGCGCAGAUAUCAGGAGGAACACCGGUGGCGAAGGCGGGUCUCUG